GUGUCAGAUGAUUUUGCCCAGCUGCAGGAUAAUGUAGGUAUUCCAAAGGUGUUUCAGGUUGCCUAGGCCUGAGCAAUCAUGUUUGGCCUGUCACAUGUAUUAAAUCAAUUUCAACUUAGGAAAUUUUCAGUUUACCAUGGGUUUAUCAGAAGCUAAACCCAUCAAAAGUCAGGGACAACUGUAUUCAGCGUAGAGUUCAGUCACACAUUUCAGUAGCAUAUGAAGCGGUUUGGAAGCAUUGUGCAAGAGUUAAGUCCCUCACCCCAAAUGCAGUGACGCAGAGAGCUACAAGAUGAGGUGCAUCUUCAUCUUCCCCUUCUGGCACAACCUAAAGCCAAACUGGCAGAGAAGAAAACCACCAAAAAGUACAGCCAGCAUGUGGGUAGGGUUGGAUUCGCAGCCUCUGGCCUGUGACUUUGCGUGACUACUUUGCGCGACUACUUUGUGUGACUCCUCAAAGCACAGGCAGUUGAGAGUCUGAUGACACUCAAGGCCACGCGCUGUGAUGUCCAAAAUUAACUCAGCUGCUAACUGUGCUACUGCCUCCGCGGUUUGAUUGCACCCUGCCUUCCUUGAGAACGCCCCCAAGGGAUAAAGAGGAUGUUGCUCAUAUGUGCAUUUCUGAGUUUUUUUUUUUUCUUAGUGGACAGAAAUUUUCCAUUGUGUGGGGAUUUUUUGGUCUCAUCUGAAAUCUGGUUUCCACGUAGCCUGGCGCUAUUAGUCCAGUCAUUUUACCUGACCUCUUUCUUUACUUUGGGCACAAGACAAGGCCGAGCUCAUUCUUUCGUGACAGCCACUCUGCCACCUAAGCAGAACUAACCGUCAAAAGAGCAGGCGAAUUGUAAUUCUUAAAAAAUCCAUAAGCCAGCAGUUCCUUUUAACCACAGUGACUUUCCCGGCUGGCUCGUUGUGCUGAGGCAGCGGCGCGGCUGCACAGCAGAGCGAGGCUUGGCCCCGCCUCCCUUGGCAGGAGGGCGCUGUGGCGCGUGCAAGCUCUGCUGUCCUGCCCUUCCUGUGGGACCCAGUAUGGCGUUCUAGUGAUUGUUAGCAUGCGGACUGAAUAAACGCUCGGCUUCACUGAUGUUCCCAGCCUUACAUUUGCUAAACUGUGUCAACCAGAUGGCAGCAAGGACAUCUGUGGCAGUACAGAAAUCAAGAGAUGAGAAAAGGAAAUAAAGGAAGACGAGGUCUGGCGCCAUGGCUCCAACCCUAGUGCCGAACCUGAGCAGGCAGAGGGCUCCACGCAGGACCCCCAGGUCAAGCUGGUGACCCCCGUCUGCCCUUAGUGAUGUGGCCAGGGACCUCCAUUCUGUUUUCCACCACAGGACUGCACUUAUAUAUGAUGUCUGAAAUAGUCAAACUCAUAGAAGCAGAGACAGAACGGCAGCUCCGGAGCUGAAUCAAAAUGCACGCAGCACAUGGAGACCCAGGAUGGCCCCAGCCAGCCCUGGCGAGUGGCAGACCAGUUCCCUCAGUGUCGUUGUCCUGUCUCCUCGGUUGUGGUGUCUUGAGAAGGUGUCGUUCUGUUAAAGUUCACAAGUAGAGUUUUCCUUAAAUUAAAGUUAAAAUUUCA
Non-coding RNA from Heterocephalus glaber (naked mole-rat), 1573 nucleotides. Lineage: Eukaryota; Metazoa; Chordata; Mammalia; Rodentia; Bathyergidae. The record is from RefSeq and is a predicted model, not a curated record.